RNAcentral lists this ribosomal RNA (901 nucleotides) under uncultured eukaryote. RNAcentral's name for it is "eukaryotic LSU rRNA". The stretch from base 1 to 241 matches the Rfam family "Eukaryotic small subunit ribosomal RNA", at positions 1593 to 1831 of the family's 1831-position model. The record is from RNAcentral.
UUGCUCUUCAACGAGGAAUGCCUAGUAAGCGCAUGUCAUCAGCAUGCGUUGAUUACGUCCCUGCCCUUUGUACACACCGCCCGUCGCUACUACCGAUUGAAUGGCUCAGUGAGGCCUCCGGACUGGCUUGAGGAGGUUGGCAACGACCACCUUGAGCCGGAAAGUUCGUCAAACUCGGUCAUUUAGAGGAAGUAAAAGUCGUAACAAGGUUUCCGUAGGUGAACCUGCGGAAGGAUCAUUGUCGUGACCCUGACCAAAACAGACCGCGCACGCGUCAUCCAAUCCGUCGGCGACGGCACCGUCCGUCGCUCGGCCAAUGCCUCGACCACCUCCCCUCCUCGGAGCGGGUGGGGGCUCGGGGUAAAAGAACCCACGGCGCCGAAGGCGUCAAGGAACACUGUGCCUAACCCGGGGGCAUGUCUAGCUUGCUAGCCGUCCCUUGUGUUGCAAAGCUAUUUAAUCCACACGACUCUCGGCAACGGAUAUCUCGGCUCUCGCAUCGAUCAAGAACGUAGCGAAAUGCGAUACCUGGUGUGAAUUGCAGAAUCCCGCGAACCAUCGAGUCUUUGAACGCAAGUUGCGCCCGAGGCCACUCGGCCGAGGGCACGCCUGCCUGGGCGUCACGCCAAAACACGCUCCCAACCACCCUCAACGGGAUUCGGGAUGCGGCAUCUGGUCCCUCGUCUCUCAAGGGACGGUGGACCGAAGAUUGGGCUGCCGGCGUACCGCGCCGGACACAGCGCAUGGUGGGCGUCCUUGCUUUAUCAAUGCAGUGCAUUCGGCGCGCAGCUGGCAUUAUGGCCUUUGAACGACCCAACAAACGAAGCGCACGUCGCUUCGACCGCGACCCCAGGUCAGGCGGGACUACCCGCUGAGUUUAAGCAUAUCAAUAAGCGGAGGA